This 440-nucleotide ribosomal RNA is filed under the name uncultured bacterium. RNAcentral describes it as "partial 16S ribosomal RNA". It matches the Rfam family "Bacterial small subunit ribosomal RNA", at positions 338 to 795 of the family's 1533-position model. The record is from RNAcentral.
CCUACGGGUGGCAGCAGUGGGGAAUAUUGCACAAUGGGGGAAACCCUGAUGCAGCGACGCCGCGUGAGUGAAGAAGUAUUUCGGUAUGUAAAGCUCUAUCAGCAGGGAAGAAAAUGACGGUACCUGAUUAAGCAGCCCCGGCUAACUACGUGCCAGCCGCCGCGGUCAUACGUAGGGGGCAAGCGUUAUCCGGAUUUACUGGGUGUAAAGGUAGCGUAGACGGCAGCACAAGUCUGGAGUGAAAUGCCGGGGCUUAACCCCGGAACUGCUUUGGAAACUGUGCAGCUAGAGUGCAGGAGAGGUAAGUGGAAUUCCUAGUGUAGCGGUGAAAUGCGUAGAUAUUAGGAGGAACACCAGUGGCGAAGGCGGCUUACUGGACUGUAACUGACGUUGAGGCUCGAAAGCGUGGGGAGCAAACAGGAUUAGAUACCCGGGUAGUC